This is a long non-coding RNA of Pygoscelis adeliae (Adelie penguin), 1918 nucleotides long. RefSeq lists it as uncharacterized. NCBI's taxonomy places the organism in Eukaryota, Metazoa, Chordata, Aves, Sphenisciformes, Spheniscidae. The transcript has 3 exons. The record is from RefSeq and is a predicted model, not a curated record.
UGAAGUCUCGGAUGUUGCAGCUUCUUCUGCCCUUGAGGAAAACUUAGACAGUGUCAAGGAAGGAGUAGCCUCAGCAGCUCAAGAGAUUUCUGACACAUCCUCAAGGAGCCAGGACGUUGAUGCUGAGGAGUCGGGGCAAACUUCAGAAGUUUCUGUGGAGGAGAAGACACCUGAAGAAGUUGCUAAGGAACCCUAAAGUAAGCAGUGCCGAAGCCUUUGAAAAGUUUAAUGGAAAUGUUUGUGGCAAUCAACCAGCUGAUUCCUGUGUGAAACCUCAUACUCUUCCUUGGAGACAUAAAAGAAAUUGUGCAGUUUGUCAGACCCCACACUGCUCAUUAGGACCAGUAUUCAUUGCUGCAACAGACACCCUAAUACCAUUUAAGUUGGUUAGAGAGACGCUCCUGUGAUUAACAUCUCUGCUUUAGAAAGUAGCAUCCAGUAAUAACUGUCAAAGCACCACCCAGCAUGUAAUUAAUACACGUGCUAAGAGAAGCCGUAGACUUAACUGAAACCACAUCAGGUGAACUCAUUUUAGGUCUUUGUUGUCUCGUUAUGUACAUUGAUUUCUUAUUUUUGGUCCAAACUGUGGUGCAUAAUUACACCAUUGUAACAGUCCAUGCUAAAAUGUAAGUAAAAAGUUUUAACUAAGUUAAAAUCUUAUAAAAAUUACCUGUUAGUAUUUUUAAAUUGGGUCACGGGGAAAAUAACAACCUUGUUUGCUCCCAAGUUUGGAUUUGCAAUUGUAAGCAUAGGACAUUUUCUAUGUCUAAGAUCUAAUUUUCCUCCUGCAUAAACAUUUUAGAUACUACCCUUCCUUGCACAAUAAUAUCCAGGAGUAAACAUUUUUAAGGCUUCUGCUUUGAGAACAAAACCCGUUUGCAAGUAGUACUAAUAAGUGCUUUAUAGCAUGAAAAUCAAAAUAACAUCGGUUGAAGUUAUCAUCAUUGAUCAAAGUGGUGGCUCCUACCUUGGGGGUGCUGGGCCCCGUUCCUACCAAAACUUAUUCAGCUUGCUGUAGUCUUUCUGUGUUGUUCUGUCUUAGCAGUGACAUGCAGCAGUGGCGUGACAACACGGAGGUUUGAGAGAACACUCUUGUACAAAUCACGAGCAAUUUAGGCUAUGGUAAAGCUCCUCUCCGAGCGCUUGCAGAUGGCCAGCAAAAUCCCCGUGGAAGGCUGUGCCACAGCUGUUCAAACGGACAAGGAUUCUUAGGGACUAAUAAAGAACAGAAUAGCUAAAUAAUCUUGUCUUGUUAGUAUUAUCUUAAUAAUAAAAAAAAUCUCUAAUGAAUAAUGGGUUUGCAUGACACUGUUCUCCUAACCCUCCAUUGUGCUAUGGGCACGUGCAUGAGUGUGCACCUCCUACAAACUUUUUACUGAGACUCCCACCUCCUAAAAAAGCAUUACAGCCAUCACAGAAUGGCGAUAAUUCUAAACCAAGGCCAAAUAAGGUAUAUUAUACAUGCUUUAUAUAGGAAGUGUGAAUUAAAGGGUGUAUCUGACUGCUUUCUCUUCAAGCAGAACUUUGGAAAAAUGUUGAAAGGGAAAUUAUAGCAUUAUGACAUUCCUACCCAUGGCACAAAGCAACACAUGCUCCUUCCCCCAUCGUCAAGCAAAUUAUAAUAGUGUUCCAACAAAAAUGCAGCCUAUUGCCCUUGUACCUGCUUAGGAAUAACUGGAAUAAUGCAGAGGCAAAAUCAGGCUCCUGAGCUUCAAGCAGCCAUACCACAGCCUUCUGCUUAAAGGAUAAAGCCACUGUGAUUAAAAGCAAUUUUUGUAGACGAAGCUACUGGAAUAAAAGUCUUAGACUGAUAUUUUGUUGGAUGAGAGUCUAUCUUUAUUUAUCUGGUAGAUUAAACAUCCUAUGAUGGAUGCAUACUCUUAAAUGUUCCAUUUCCUCACUAAUUCCCAGUGAAAGA